RNAcentral lists this ribosomal RNA (700 nucleotides) under Streptomyces sp. Its description in RNAcentral is "bacterial SSU rRNA". It matches the Rfam family "Bacterial small subunit ribosomal RNA", at positions 38 to 747 of the family's 1533-position model. The record is from RNAcentral. RNAcentral also lists the same sequence under 1 other name. Lineage: Bacteria; Bacillati; Actinomycetota; Actinomycetes; Kitasatosporales; Streptomycetaceae.
GGGGSSCUGCUACAGCUAUASYAUGMUMGUSGMWCRAURAACCUCCUUCGGGAGGGGAUAAGUGGCGAACGGGUGAGUAACACGUGGGCAAUCUGCCCUUCACUCUGGGACAAGCCCUGGAAACGGGGUCUAAUACCGGAUAUGACACGGGGUCGCAUGAUCUCCGUGUGGAAAGCUCCGGCGGUGAAGGAUGAGCCCGCGGCCUAUCAGCUUGUUGGUGGGGUGAUGGCCUACCAAGGCGACSACGGGUAGCCGGCCUGAGAGGGCGACCGGCCACACUGGGACUGAGACACGGCCCAGACUCCUACGGGAGGCAGCAGUGGGGAAUAUUGCACAAUGGGCGAAAGCCUGAUGCAGCGACSCCGCGUGAGGGAUGACGGCCUUCGGGUUGUAAACCUCUUUCAGCAGGGAAGAAGCGAAAGUGACGGUACCUGCAGAAGAAGCGCCGGCUAACUACGUGCCAGCAGCCGCGGUAAUACGUAGGGCGCAAGCGUUGUCCGGAAUUAUUGGGCGUAAAGAGCUCGUAGGCGGCUUGUCACGUCGGAUGUGAAAGCCCGGGGCUUAACCCCGGGUCUGCAUUCGAUACGGGCAGGCUAGAGUUCGGUAGGGGAGAUCGGAAUUCCUGGUGUAGCGGUGAAAUGCGCAGAUAUCAGGAGGAACACCGGUGGCGAAGGCGGAUCUCUGGGCCGAUACUGACGCU